GACGAACGCUGGCGGCGUGCUUAACACAUGCAAGUCGAACGGAAAGGCCCUGCUUUUGUGGGGUGCUCGUGUGGCGCAGGGGUGUGAAACACGUGUGUAACCUGCCCUUGACUUUGGGAUAACUUCAGGAAACUGGGGCUAAUACCGGAUAGGAGCUCUUGCUGCAUGGUGGGGGUUGGAAAGUUUCGGCGGUGGGGGAUGGACUCGCGGCUUAUCAGCUUGGUGGUGGGGUAGUGGCUUACGAAGGCUUUGACGGGUAGGCGGCAUGAGAGGGUGAGCGGCCACAUGAGGACGGAGAGACGGAGCAGACUCCGAGGGGAGGCAGUGGGGGAGAAUGUUGCACAGUGGGCGGACGGAUGAUGCAACGCCGCGGGGGGGGGGAUGGCGUCCGGGUUGUUAAAAACUUUUUUCGAUGGUGACGAACUUGUGGUGACGGUAAUGGGUGAAGAAGCACCGGCUAACUACGUG
This 468-nucleotide ribosomal RNA is filed under the name uncultured bacterium. RNAcentral describes it as "partial 16S ribosomal RNA". It matches the Rfam family "Bacterial small subunit ribosomal RNA", at positions 28 to 507 of the family's 1533-position model. The record is from RNAcentral.